GUACAAGAAAGGAAACUGAAAGAAAAGGACAGAUCAAUUUAUCUGCAUGUUACCCUUUCUCUCUUAUAUUGUAUUGAUUGCACAGCCACAACUGUUAAUCUGAUAUCUCUUUUGUUGUUUUUUUUUUUUCUCUUUCUCAAGAACUUGAAAAUUCGAGUCUCUAUGCUUCUUCUUAUUCUUUGUUUUGAAUUUUACGUAACUGAGAAGGUAAAAGAUGUGAGACAGAUGAGAGAGAGAUGCCUCUCAGUGAUAGAUGGUUGAGUCACAUUACCACCCUGUACUUUCCUUCACUCAAAUCAAUCACAGUUUCAUCUGUUGCUGAUAAUCCUAGACUUUCUUAUGACAAACACAGGGAGGGAAAGGGAAAAAAAAGAGGAAAAAAUAGAGAAGGAAACAGGAAAAAAGAUACUCGUAUACCUGUUGUUCAUGUUUAUUGGUUCCUCUAAUGCCAUACUUUCUUUGAACCCCUCGCUGAACUAAACAUAUUUUUGGGAAUGUCAGUACUUUUCUGUAUUUCGCAUUUAUUUCCCUCUCUUUCUCUCCACUAUAUAAGCUCCAGCUAUCUCUUUCAACUACCAUCUCUUCUUCUUCUUGCCAUUUUACAUCACUUCGCAGCUCCUUUGAUAUUGAUAUUAUAGUUUUUCCUAGUUCUUUCUUUGCUUGUCUCUGUACUUUCUUUCUCUCUCAUGACUGCCUCGAGAUGUUUAUAUCAAUGGGAGAAACAGAACGAUAUUUCUACUUGCCUGAUAAAAUCUGUGAGAGGAAGUAUUGCUGCCAUGAGUUCAGUCCUAAACAGAGGAUGAGGCAAAAAUCAAAAUUUUGACGGUGCUAUCCUUGCUGAGCUUGAUCUUUUAUUUUUAUUUUUAUAUUUUUUUCUUGAUCUUGCAAGACUUUUUAUGUUUUGCAUUACUAUAUUAUUUAAUUUUUAUUUAAUUAAAAUUUAUAAUUUAUAAAAUCAAAAUUAUGAUAUUAUAUUUUAAAUUACCGCUGAUAAUUUAAUUUUUAAGUCAGUGUUACUGUCGACAAUUUUUUUUUUUUCUCCUUAUUUCCCGUUAAGUCUUUUAAAUUUGUUUAAAAUCACAUUCUUAGAUCACCUAUUCUACUUUUCUUCUUCUAAUUUAUUCCUCCUGAGCUUUGUUUACUCUGAAUUUCUUAUUUCUUUAGUGAACCCGGUGUAAUCUGAUGUUUACUUAUUAUUAUUUCGACUUUUAUUGUUAUAUAUUUCUGGAAUUUCUGUUUUUUAUUUUAUUUAAUCAAUUGUUAAGUACAUAUGCAAGAACGGCAGCUUGAUAUAAAGUAUUAUAGUUCAUAAUAAUCUUCUGUGCUAUUAAAGAAAGGAAAUGCUUGAAAUCUCCAAGGAAAAUCCUCUGCAUCUGAACAUGGGUUCUAAUGAUGGAAAGCAAUUUUGCAGUUUUCUUGACCAUACAUUAUUCCUGUGAAGUUAAAAGUUCUUUUAUAUUAGUAUGGUACUGGUCAAAACAGAAUGAUUAAUAGGUUUAAUGAUCAAGGCGCAUGUAGAAGUACUGGCAUAAGUAAUCUUUGACUUAGAUGCAUGUGGGGGGACUGUAAUGAAAGGAAAAGAAAACAGAAGUGUCCGAACUGGGAGAUGCACGAUUUCCUGCAAAAUGGACAGAAACUAUUUAAGACUUGCAUUUGGGUCAGAAGUCAGGAUACUGAUCAGGAGCAGCAGUGCGUUUACUUAGGAUUUUAGACAAUAGGAAUCCUUUGGUAUGCCCAUGUGCACCAUGCAUUAAAAUGAGGUUCUCAUCUCAGAAAUAAUCUUUGAAUGAAAGCAAAGUUUUAUAGAUGACCUUGUAAAUCUUACAACCCUUUUUUACUUGUUGGGAAUAUUGG
This 1854-nucleotide long non-coding RNA is filed under the name Ricinus communis (castor bean). Its description in RNAcentral is "long non-coding RNA (RCOM_LNC002970)". The record is from RNAcentral. Lineage: Eukaryota; Viridiplantae; Streptophyta; Magnoliopsida; Malpighiales; Euphorbiaceae.